UGCGUAGGCGGACUAAUAAGUCAGUGGUGAAAUCUUUCGGCUCAACCGGGAAACUGCCAUUGAUACUGUUAGUCUUGAGUUCGGUUGAGGUAGGCGGAAUGUGUAAUGUAGCGGUGAAAUGCUUAGAUAUUACACAGAACACCAAUUGCGUAGGCAGCUUACUAGACCGAGACUGACGCUGAGGCACGAAAGCGUGGGGAGCGAACAGGAUUAGAUACCCUGGUAGUCC
RNAcentral lists this ribosomal RNA (229 nucleotides) under uncultured bacterium. RNAcentral's name for it is "partial 16S ribosomal RNA". It matches the Rfam family "Bacterial small subunit ribosomal RNA", at positions 568 to 796 of the family's 1533-position model. The record is from RNAcentral.